Esox lucius (northern pike) is the source of this 868-nucleotide long non-coding RNA. The record is from Ensembl. Lineage: Eukaryota; Metazoa; Chordata; Actinopteri; Esociformes; Esocidae.
GCGACGCCUCAGGUGGUGAGGUUCCUUAACGGUUGCCCCUUUGAUAUAAAACUCCCGAGUUGCUUCUUUGCAGCUGGGUCCUCCUUCCUGCGUCAUGUGUUGGUGGUGUGUCCUAGCUCGGGAUUGUCAUUAGCCAAAGGCCAGAAGUUACCUUCCGCUGGUGGUCGUCACUACCACUCUGUUCCCUGCAACACACUUCGAACAAAUUGCCGUGCUGGCCCACGUGUCGGGCAUCGCUGAACGUCCGUCUGAUUCCGGUUUGUCUGGAUCCAUAUUAAGACGACAGGCAUUGGCACAAUUUCCCAGCAGGCGAUGUGACAUGUUCUGGCGACAGUCGCGGAUUUAUUUUCCCUCUAAUGAAACACAAUGGUGGAAAUGCAGAUGACCAGGAGGCCAGGAGGGGAGUAGCCCAGGGAUACAUACUGAGAGGGGCUUGAGUUGAGGAAUGAUCAAUGCUAGCAACAACAAUGAAUCACCACCAGCCAAUUCUUUGAAAACUGUCAACUGUCAUAAAAAGCUCUGCUUGAGGUGCAGCACAUUUUGAAGCACUCGUCAAACAGGAGAUGUCUAGCAUUUACAAAUGUGGUAAGAAGUUUACCAACAAAAUCUCUUAUCCAUAAGUAUCUGAAAAAACUAUAUACCUGAGAAGAUUUCCCACAGCAAAUCAAUAGAGGCAAAGGGGCCCUCCAUAUAUCCUCUAUGAUAUAAAUAGGUCUCUAUAGCGGUCAAUGGUAUUAUCAAGGAUUGAGGCGCAAAGAAAGGUGUUUCUCACUAUCGGGAGCAAAAAUGAGACUGGUCUAAGGUCAAAGUGACCCUUGAUCUGCUUCCACAUAUGGACCGCGAUGGGCCCAGAUGACAUCAUUGGCCA